This 6058-nucleotide long non-coding RNA is filed under the name Marmota monax (woodchuck). The record is from RNAcentral. Lineage: Eukaryota; Metazoa; Chordata; Mammalia; Rodentia; Sciuridae.
GGGGCGUUCUGAGAUGGGGCUGAGGCUGUUGGAACUGGCCCUAGGGGGACCCCGGCCUCCCUGCCUCAGUUCCGCAGUCUGUGGCCCUGUCAGCCGCUGGCGCCUCUGGGUCCUCGGGCACCUCGGCCCCGCGGGGUGGGGCCGGGCGGGGGGCCCGGACCCACUGUCCUCUCCUGUACCUGCGCGGCGACUUGGGCCGGGCCAGGAGCCCUCUCUGGGCAGCGCCGUGUCGCCCCCGACUGUGCGGUGGCGGCGGAAGGGUCGUGGGGACAUCUCUCAUGAGGGGUUCGUGCGCUGAAGAAGCUGUGGUCGGUGGGGACCUCUGUCCCUCCUUUUCCCGCUCCAGGGUCAUCGUUUUCCCCUUGAGUUUUACAGAUGUAUGGGAAACAGUGUCACAAAUCCAUAUCCCUGUCCCCAUGCCCAAAUGCCAACUGUCCCCCUCCAGUUCACAACAUCAGUGUCAACUAUUCAUCUUUCGAUUUGCAUCUCAUAGGGACAUCGCAUUUUAAUUGCUUAGUUUCCCACAAAGCAAUGAAUGACGUUCUUUAAAAGGUGUAUUUUGUUUGGAAUCUUUUCAACCAAGAGUAAAGCAGAGGAAAACUUCCUGACACUCCACUGUAAGAAUCUUCCAAUCUCCUUUGUUAUAUUAUCUAGACACAGACGCCUUUUAAGAAUGUCUCUGGGGGCUGGGGUUGUGGCUCAAAGGUAGAGCUUUCGCCUGCCACGCAUGAGGCACUGGGUUGGAUCCUCAGUACCACAUAAAAAUAAGAUAAAGAUAUUACAUCUAUCUAUAACUACAAAAUAAAUAUUAAAAAAAAAGAAUGUCUUUGGGUAGAGGGUUCCCUUUAGAAACUUUAUAGGUACUAGGUGUGGGUGGACCUCUCCAGUAAUCCCAGCAAUUCAGGAAGCUGGGCAGGAGAAUCAAAAGUUUGAGGCUAGCCUCAGUAACUUAUCCAGACCUCCAUCUCAAGAUUAAAAAUUAAAAAAAGGGCUGAGGAUGAAGCUUAAUGAUAGAGUGUCCCUGGGUUCAAUCCCCAGCACCGCAGUGAAUGAAUGAAUGAAUGUAAGUAAGUGCAUAACCUUGUUGAGACCAAAACUCCAUAAGGCCAAUGUUGAUCCUGCAAAGAGAGGUCAUUGAAGUCCUGCCUAGUUGGUUCUUCCUGGGGAGCCUUCUCUGUGUCCUGCUUGCCCACACCAACUAUGGCAGGCACCCUUUAAAUGGAGAAGAUGUACUGAACAGCUGGGGAUGCAUAUGCUGAUGGGGUUGGGUCGAAGAGGGGGUCUUGAUGUCCUCUCUCCUUCUUUCUUUUUAGUGGUGCUAGGGAUGAAACCUGGGGCCUUGUGCAUGCUAGGCCAGCAUUCUGUCACUGAAUUACACAUUCUGUCCUUAAUACCUUUUCUGAAGGUGUUAUUUGCACUAGGGCUGUUUCUGGACAGUGUCUUUCAAACAAAAUCCUGAUAGAGGUGUGAAGUGAUUUUAUUUGAAAGGAAUAUUGUAAUAGGGAGAAACCCCUAGUAUCUCAACAGUUAAUGAGGAGCAAAGGAGUAGAAAACAGGUGGAGUCCUGCAUGGUGGUGCACACCUGUAAUCCCUGAGGCCAGAGAUUCUGUAUGACAAUAGAUAAGGCCAGAGGAUGGCAAAUUCCAGGCCAGCCUCGGUAACUUGGUGAGACCCUGUCUCAAAAUAAAAAGGGCCAAAUAUAUCUCAGUAAAGUGUCCCUUUGUCCCCAAUACCAGGGGGAGGGAGGAAGGUGGAGAUCAGGGGAUGGCAGAGUGUCGCAAAAAUAAGGUCUAGACCAGAGAAUGUUUUCCCCUGAGGUCAACCUGUUCUUAAGAGAACAUUAAGGGAGGGGCUGUCUGCUAGUUUAGGUUGAGAGGGCUCACUCCUAAGCAGGUGAUUCAAGAAAUUUAAUUCUGGCACCUCCACACCCUACUGUCUCCUCCUCUUUCAGGGUCUCAAUUCUCACCUGCACAGGAGGGUGAUCUUCAGGUUUGGGAGUAUGUUUCACCUUCUGAGUGUGGGUCCCCUUGUGAACUGUGGGUGAAGCAGGCUGCUUCCCUUAGCUGCUUCCCCCUUGUUCCCUUUGUGGGAUCUUGUUGCCACUGGAUCAUACUGUGUCCAUGUGCUUAGGCAUGGGAUUCCAUGGCAUAGGUGUAAGAGUUUUUCUUGUUUGGAACCCGAGUGGAUUGAAUAAUAAGAUCUGAAGUGACAAAGAGAGUCUUGAAAUAAAUCAUUUAUUCUAUGCUUAGUUUAUACAAUAAGAAUAUAAACAUGCAUGGACUCACCACCCAGGUGACUAAAUUGACUAUGGUCAGUUAUGCUAUGACUCCUUGAUGUCACCACCUAUCUGCACUCAGAGGUCACCACUGUCCCAAUUGUUUUCAUUAUUCUGUAGAGCAUACCAUCUGUUUAUCAUGAAGCAGAAUUUUGCCUCUUUUUAGAGUUCAGUAAGUUAAUAUUACUAUCAACAUACCAUUGAUAUUGUGCCGAAGGGCUUUUCUUGUGCUUUCUUUGCCUUAGUCUGUUGCACACAUGCUGCUGAGGCACGGCUCACACAGUUCAUUCACCAUCUACUGCUAUAAGAUUUACGUUGUUUCGAGUUUGUUCUUUAAUUAGUUAUUUUGCAUGCUGAGAAUUGAACCCAGGACCUUGCAUUUGCACAUGCUAGGCAAGUGCUUUGCCACUGAGCUAGAUCCCCAGCUCUCAAGGUGUUUUCUCUCUCUCUCUCUCUCUCUCUCUCUCUCUGUGUGUUAUUGGGGAUUAAACCCAGGGGUGCUUUACCAUGAGCUACACCCCUGGACUUUCUAAUUUAUUUUUUGAGACAGGGUCUUACCAAAUUGCCCAGACUAACCUGGAACUUGGAAUCCUCAUGCCUCCUGAAUAGUAUGCACCACCACACCCAACCCAAGUUUAUUAUUGUUUAUUAUUAUUGUUGUUAUUUUCAGUCCCGGGGAAUUGAACCUAGGCGUGCUCUACCACUGAAUUACAUCCUCAGUCCUGCCUCUCCCGGCCUUUUUUUGCACUAGGGAUUUAACCUAGGGGUACUUUACCUCUGAGCUAUAUCACUAGCUCCCUAACCCUUUAAAAAAUUUUUUUUAGGUCUUGCUAAGUUGCCCAGGCUGGUCUUGUGAUCCUCUUGCCUCUGCCUCAUGAGUAGCUAGGAUUAUAGGCAUGUGCCACUGUGCCUGGCUGAAGUUUGUUUUUGAUGUUGUUGACAGUGUCAUUCUUGUUUUUGUCCACAAGUUUUAAUGCCUUGAAAACUUUUUAUACAAUGGGGAAAAUGGCUAGGUUGUUGGUUAUGGAUAAAUUCAGAUUUAAUAGGAAAUGUUGCUGGAGCAUAUGUAAUAACUGUCUGACCUUUCCUAAGUAUUUAUUCUUGAAAUUUGUCAAUGCUUCCAAUUAUCUAAUUAAUUUUUUCAUCUAUUGUCAUACAGAAUCUCCAAUGGUCAUAUAUUACUUUUACAUAGUCAUGUUCUGCAUAAUGACAUUUCAGCCAACAACGGACCCUGUGUAGGAUAGUAGUCGCUAGCAGCCUCCUACAGCUGGUGGUUUACUGCAUCUUUUGAUUGUUCUCAUAUACUCAAUUUAAUUUUAUGCUAUUAUGUUCAUCAUGGCUCCUACUCACACAAAAUCCAUUGCUAAAGUUGCCAGUAAGAGGCCACGUUGAGUGAUUGACCUAGAAACAAAAUUAAAAUUGAUUAAGGACUAUGAAGGUGGGAAAUCAGUAAUGGUUAUUGCUCGCCAAUCAGGAAUGUCCCAUUCCACCAUAGCUACAAUCUUGAAGAACAAGAACAAAGUGACAGAAGCUCUUAAAGGAUCUGCCUCAUUGAAGGCCACCAGACUAACAAAAAUUCGAGAAGGGCCCAUAUCAGAUAUGGAGAAACUUCUAAUGACCUGGAUUGAAGAGCAGACACGGAAGCGGGUCCCUCUCAGUACUAUGAUGAUUACAGCUAAAGCCAAAAGUUUGUUUGCAAUGUUGAAGGAAAAGGCUGGACCUGACUAUAAUGUUGAAUUCACUGCCAGCUCUGGGUGGUUCAAGCGAUUCAAGAAUCGCUAUUCAUUACAUAAUGUGAAAGUGAGUGCUGAUGUCACCAAGGAGUGUAUGAAUGGCAUCUGGAAGAAGACACUCAAGAGGUUCGUCCAUGAUUUCAAAGGAUUUGCUCAGGAAGAGGAAGGCGCAAACAUGGACAAGGCUGUGGUUGAGAUGGCCAACAACUUUACUCUGGGUAUGGAGGAGGAUGACAUGGAGGAUGAUGACAUGGAGCUCCUGGAGGUGGUUCCUGAGGAACUGACCAGUGAGGAGUCAUUGGACCAGGAGUGCAAAGCCCAAGAAGAAGCAAGAGAAAAGGAAACUGCAAAAGAAGAGAAAGAACUUCCAAGAAAAUUCACAGUGACGGGCCUAGCAGAAGCUUUUACAGACCUCAACAAGCUCCUUAAAAAGUUUGAAAGCAUGGACCCCAACCCUGAAAGGUUUUCAUUAAUAGAGAAGAAUGUUCAUGGUGCAUUAUCUGUGUACAAACAGAUCUAUGAGGCAAAAAGGAAGCAAACCACCACAGACAUAUUUCUGCGAAGAGUGACACCUCAAGAGCCUCAGGCAGGUCCCUCAAGAGGCAUUGUCAUCAUAGGAGAUGAUGGCACUAUGCGCAUUAUUGCCUCUGAGGACCUUCCGGUGGACCAUGUCAGAGAGGGGGAAGUCAGUGAUAUUGAUGAUCCUGAUCUUGUGUAGGCCUAGGCUCAUUCGUAUGUUCAUGUCAUAGUUUUUAACAAAAAAGCUAAGAAGUUUAAGAAAAAUUAAAAAUCAAAAAAAGCUUCUAGAAUAAGGAUAUAAAGAAAAGAUUUUUAUACAGCUGUGUAAUGUGUCUGUUUUAAGCUGUUAGUACAAAAGAGUCAAAGGUUUAACAUCUUAAAAAGUUGAUAAAGUAAAAAAGUCUGGUAAGGUUAAUUUGUUAUGGAAGAAUGAAAAAAUUAUAUAUUUUAAUAAACUGGAAUAACUUAAGUGUACAGUGUUGAUAAAGUCUACAGCAGUGUACAGGAAUGUCUGCAGCCUCCACAUUUACCCCUCACUUGCUGAUAACCAGAGAAACGUCCAGUCCUGCAAGCUCCAUUCAUGGUAAGUACCCUCUACCUGUGUACCAUUGAUUAUUUUUUAUCUUGUUUUUGCUGUACCUUAGACACACAAAUACUUAACAUUGCAUUACAGCCAAGCAUGGUGGUACAUGCCUAUAACCCCAGCAGCUUGGGAGGCUGAGGCAGGAAGAUCACAACUUCAAAACCAGCCUCACCAACAGUGAGGUGCUUAGCAACUCAGUGAGACCCUGUCACUAAAUAAAAUACAAAAUAGGGCUGGGGAUGUGGCUCAGGGGUCGAGUGCCCCUGAGUUCAAUCCCUGGUAGCAAAACAAAAACAAACAAACAAACAAACAAAAAAAACCCAUUGCAUUAUACCUGUCAUUGUGUGAAAGCAAUAUUGUAUUUUAUACUUUUAAAAUUUUUUGUGUGUGCUAAAACUGGGAAUGAACCACAUGUAUGUUUAUGUCAUAGUUUUUAACAAAAAAGUUGAAGAAGUUAAAAGGUUAUAGAAUAAGAAUAUAAAGAAAGAAAAUAUUUUGUACAGCUGUGUAAUGUGUUUGUGUUUUAAACUAAGGGUCCAGUGUUCAGUAACAAGCUGUCAAGGUUUGUUGCCUGGGAACAGUCGGCUAUGGCAUAUGGCCUGAGUGUAGGAGCUGUCCUGCCAGAGUUGCACACUCUGAUGUACACACAAUGGAAAACACCUAAUUAAACAUCUCUCAGAACGUGUUCCCUUUGUUAAGUGAUGCAUGAUUUUAAUAAAAAUAAACAAAAAAGAAAAAAAGUGACAUUCUUCUACUGGUCACCCCUGGUUUUGAGCAUUUUCCUUCAUGUCUUUAAACUUCUAUGAAAUAGUUUUCAGUCAUUUUUUAAAAUAUAUAUAUUUUUUAAUUGUAGUUGCAUACAAUACCUUUAUUUUAUUUAUUUCUAUGUGCUGAGGAUUGAACCCAGGGCCUUAUACGUGCUAGGUGAGUACAGUACCACUAAGCCAC